Molecule: ribosomal RNA, 484 nt
Filed under: uncultured bacterium
Lineage: Bacteria
Description: partial 16S ribosomal RNA
Rfam family: Bacterial small subunit ribosomal RNA
Source: RNAcentral
AUUGAACGCUGGCGGCAGGCCUAACACAUGCAAGUCGAGCGGAUGAAGGGAGCUUGCUCCUGGAUUCAGCGGCGGACGGGUGAGUAAUGCCUAGGAAUCUGCCUGGUAGUGGGGGAUAACGUCCGGAAACGGGCGCUAAUACCGCAUACGUCCCGAGGGAGAAAGUGGGGGAUCUUCGGACCUCACGCUAUCAGAUGAGCCUAGGUCGGAUUAGCUAGUUGGUGGGGUAAAGGCCUACCAAGGCGACGAUCCGUAACUGGUCUGAGAGGAUGAUCAGUCACACUGGAACUGAGACACGGUCCAGACUCCUACGGGAGGCAGCAGUGGGGAAUAUUGGACAAUGGGCGAAAGCCUGAUCCAGCCAUGCCGCGUGUGUGAAGAAGGUCUUCGGAUCGUAAAGCACUUUAAGUUGGGAGGAAGGGCAGUAAGUUAAUACCUUGCUGUUUUGACGUUACCAACAGAAUAAGCACCGGCUAACUUCGUG